RNAcentral lists this ribosomal RNA (431 nucleotides) under Neothauma tanganyicense. RNAcentral describes it as "partial 16S ribosomal RNA". It matches the Rfam family "Bacterial large subunit ribosomal RNA", at positions 1927 to 2574 of the family's 2925-position model. Lineage: Eukaryota; Metazoa; Mollusca; Gastropoda; Architaenioglossa; Viviparidae. The record is from RNAcentral.
ACGGCCGCGGUAUCUUGACCGUGCAAAGGUAGCAUAAUCAAUUGUUUUAUAAUUGAAGACUGGAAUGAAUGGUUGAAUGAAAUGUUAGCUGUCUUAUUUAUAUUUGUUAGAAUUUAGCUUUUAGAUGAAGAGAUUUAGAUAUAAUUGAUAGACAAGAAGACCCUGUUGAGCUUAAAAAUAUUUUAAAGGGNNNUUUUNNUUUUNAAAAAAAAAAAAUUUUAAANUUUUUUUUGNUNGGGGNGACNNAGGANNANUAAAANNUNCNUUUANCUAAGUAAAUUGUUUGAUUUUGAUCCAAUAUAUUGAUUAAAAAAAAUAGUUACCACAGGGAUAACAGCAUAAUCUUCUUUGAGAGUUCAUAUCGAAAAGAGGGGUUGUGACCUCGAUGUUGGACUAAAAUAUCCUAUAAAUGUAGCUGUUUAUGAUGGUUG